GGUUAUAUGCUUAUCUCAAAGGCUAAGCCAUGCAUGUCUCAGUUCAAAUGGCCUUAAAGGUGAAACCGCGAACGGCUCAUUACAACAGCUAUAAUAUACUUGAUCUUGAUAUCCUACGUGGAUAACUGUGGUAAUUCUAGAGCUAAUACAUGCACCAAAGCUCCGACUCGUCGACGAGCGCAUCUAUUAGAUUAAAACCAAUCGGGUCUCGGCCCGUCAAUUGGUGACUCUGAAUAACUAUGGCUGAUCGCAUGGUCUCGCACCGGCGACGUGUCUAUCAAGUGUCUGCCUUAUCAACUUUCGAUGGUAGUUUAUGUGCCUACCAUGGUUGUAACGGGUAACGGAGAAUAAGGGUUCGACUCCGGAGAGGGAGCCUGAGAAACGGCUACCACAUCCAAGGAAGGCAGCAGGCGCGCAAAUUACCCACUCUCGGCAUGAGGAGGUAGUGACGAAAAAUAACGAGACCGUUCUCUAUGAGGCCGGUUAUCGGAAUGGGUACAAUUUAAACCCGUUAACGAGGAUCUAUGAGAGGGCAAGUCUGGUGCCAGCAGCCGCGGUAAUUCCAGCUCUCAAAGUGUAUAUCGUCAUUGCUGCGGUUAAAAAGCUCGUAGUUGGAUCUGCGCCUCAGGACUCGGUCCGCCCACUGGGCGAGAACUGGGCUCCUGGGCUAGUACUGUUGGCUUUCCCUACGUUGCCUUUACCGGUCGCGUAGGGUGGCUAGCGAGUUUACUUUGAACAAAUUAGAGUGCUCCAAGCGGGCUAAUGUCUGAAUACUCGUGCAUGGAAUAAUAGAAUAGGAUCUCGGUUCUAUUUUGUUGGUUUUCUGAUCUGAGAUAAUGGUUAAGAGGGACGGACGGGGGCAUUCGUAUCGCUGCGUGAGAGGUGAAAUUCUUGGACCGUAGCGAGACGACCGACUGCGAAAGCAUUUGCCAAGAAUGUCUUCAUUAAUCAAGAACGAAAGUCAGAGGUUCGAAGGCGAUCAGAUACCGCCCUAGUUCUGACCGUAAACGAUACCAACUAGCGUUCCGUCGGCGGUAAAUACGCCUUGACGGGCAGCUUCCCGGAAACGAAAGUUUUUCGGUUCCGGGGGAAGUAUGGUUGCAAAGCUGAAACUUAAAGAAAUUGACGGAAGGGCACCACCAGGAGUGGAGCCUGCGGCUUAAUUUGACUCAACACGGGAAAACUCACCUGGCCCGGACACCGUGAGGAUUGACAGAUUGAGAGCUCUUUCUUGAUUCGGUGGUUGGUGGUGCAUGGCCGUUCUUAGUUGGUGGAGUGAUUUGUCUGGUUUAUUCCGAUAACGAGCGAGACUCUAGCCUACUAAAUAGUUGCUGGAUAGCCAAGUCCAGAAGACUUCUUAGAGGGACAAGCGGUGUUCAGCCGCAUGAAGCUGAGCAAUAACAGGUCUGUGAUGCCCUUAGAUGUCCAGGGCUGCACGCGCGCUACACUGGAGGAAUCAGCGUGCUGUAACCAUUGCCGAAAGGUAUUGGUAACCCCUUGAAAAUCCUCCGUGAUCGGGAUCGGGAAUUGCAAUUAUUUCCCUUGAACGAGGAAUUCCUAGUAAGUGUGAGUCAUCAGCUCACGUUGAUUACGUCCCUGCCCUUUGUACACACCGCCCGUCGCUGCCCGGGACUGAGCCGUUUCGAGAAAAGCGGGGACUGCUGUUUCGAGACCUUUCGAGGUGGAGAUUCUUUGGUGGAAACCGCCUUAAUCGCAGUGGCUUGAACCGGGCAAAAGUCGUAACAAGGUUUCC
This 1753-nucleotide ribosomal RNA is filed under the name Heterocheilus tunicatus. RNAcentral describes it as "SSU rRNA". It matches the Rfam family "Eukaryotic small subunit ribosomal RNA". The record is from RNAcentral. Lineage: Eukaryota; Metazoa; Nematoda; Chromadorea; Rhabditida; Heterocheilidae.